GCACGACCGGGCGGACCGUCCGAGCCGGAAGGGCGCAUCCUGGGGCUGGGAACGCGACGUCCGACGGAGGUGCCACGCCAAUUGUUGGGAAGACUGACCACUCCCCGCCUCCCCGCACCGUGGUUCCGGAGUGACCCUUCCACCGCGCCAGAGCAGGCUGGACUGGAGUCCGGGGCCAAGGCCCUGCACUGGCUGAGCCGAGGCCAGGCAGGGAAGAAAGAUCCCCGAGGUGCCCCUUUAACCCUAGGUUCCGCCUGCCCCGGGUCAUCUCCCUUAAUCCCCCUUCAGCACCCUUCACCCAACACCUCCACGCGUCCCUCCUGUCCCCUGCUGGCUGGCACCCCCACCGCUCCUCCUCCGAAGGGCCUGUUGCAAGGGGUCGCUCAGUCGUUUCCCAGACUCCUGCUCCCAGACUCACCAUCAGGAGGACAUCCUAGCCUCCCACGCCACGUCUGAAGCCAGCGUCUCAGCCCCUGUUCUAGGACCCCUUCUCUUCCUCACCUGCCACCUGUCCCCCCUUAACAGGCACACCCUAGCAGUCCUUGCUCAGCCCCCAGUGACCUCAGGGUCACCAAACCCUGUGGACACUUUGGGGCCUCAUCUUUCCCGGCCUUUCAAUUUCCCGGGACACACGUGGUCAAGCACUCCUUCUGGAAAGUUCUCUCAUGGCUAUGGCUUCCAGGCUGGCACCCCCACCACUUCCUCUCUUCAGAGAGUUCCCAGUGUUCCACCGCCACAUGCCCAGGGCCCCACCGGAUCCCUUUCCCCUGACCCGCUCCCACCUCCUGGACGCACUUCCCCUGCCCACCCACCUGCUAGACACCUGCCAGGGUUCCUGAGGUCUCCAGGGCAUCACCACAUGCUAAUUCACCCUGUCGCGUUUCUCUGGAAUCCAUCUGGGCCUCCUUUCCGCUGUCAACCACCAUCUGGGCCACCAUCACCUUGGGGUGCCCUUCCCAGCCCGCUGGGUCAGCUCUUUUGUUAGGUGCUGCCCUUUGUCUUGGGGGCCCUUCUCCCGACUCUGCUUCUACUUCAGGGGGACAUUGGGACCGGUAAUCCCCCGCCAUCCACAGCUCUCCCGCCCUCCAGCCCCAAGAGCAGAGCUGCAGCUGGCCCCAGGGCCCGCGAGAUGCCCCAGGCUGGAGGCAAAGGACAGAGGCAAAUGUCAGAGGCAAAGGUCAGAAGGUCUGGUGCUGCUUGCAAAGACUGUCCGUGCAGGUGCUGGGGGAGGGCAGCCUUCGAGGCUGGUGCCCAAAGACCCCCAUUCCCCCUCUUCUCCCCUCCCCUGCCCCCCUCCUCCAGCUCUCCCCCCACCUCUCUGGGAGAGAGGCAGCACCCAUCUGGGUAGGUGCCUGCGACUCUCCCCGUGGCUGUGAUCUUGGGCCACUCUGGCCUGUGAGGGGGGGACUGGGACUGCUCUGGGGGGCUGUGAGGAUCGGAGAGAUGCUCCUGGUUCUUCAUGCAGAUGGGGUGGAUCUGGGCAGUUGGGAGGGUCCUCCCGGCUGUGUCAUCUUCAGAAAGGCCCUUCCCUCUCUGGACCUUGUUUUCCUGAGGACGUUUGGGUUGGGUGGAGGCCCAGCAGUCUAGGGUAGGCACUGGGAGGCUGAGCUGGGUUCCAGGAUGGAAGAGGUGUGACAGGACACACAUGGAGUGUUUGAAAUGUGUGGAAAACAUACCUGAGAUGUGUGGACACAGUGGGGAGUGGAGGGGGAGGAACAGAUGGGGUGGGGGCCCCUCCCUGCGCUGGGCCCCCUCUGUGUACAUUAAGUGAAUUCAUAAGACGUAAACAGUGGGAAGUGGGACUGGAGGGGCUGGCCUCCUCACGGAGCACAGGACACCUGUGGACCGAAGAAGGGGCCGGUCCACCACCGAGUCCCCAGGGGUCCCGAUGGGGGCGGCACCCCCUGGAAGUGUGCCGGCCCCUGGGUCCAGGGCAGGCCCGGGUGAGGGGGCUGCCGUCUGCCUGCUUCUCCCCCAAGGUACGGGGGUGCUCUCUGCCUGUCUGUGCGGUGGGCUCCAGAGGGAGAACCAGCAGGGCUCAGUUUAGGCAUCUGAUCGAGUGUUGCGAGCUGGUACUGCCCAUGAGGCCCGGUGUCUGCCUGCCUGCCUGCCUGCCUGCUGCUCAAGUUCUGGUGGGAGAUGACAGGUGGCCGAGAAAGGAGUGGCCAGGCUGAGUGGCGCUGGGCAGAACCCCAGGGCAGAGGGACCCGGGGUUGGGGAGGGAGCGCCAGGGCCCAGAAACUGCGGGGCUGCAGGUAAGGAGGCUGGAGUGGCUGUUGGCAUCACAGGGCCUGUUUACUACGCGUUGGCAGUGUGUUGCUUUUGGUAGAGCUUUGCGUCCAGCUUUUCUCAGCACAGCUGGUGACAUAAGCAUUCAUUUCCCCAUCUUAAUAACAGGUCCUCUAAGCACCUUGGGCACUUGGUAUUGCUUUGGGUUUUUUUUUGGCAAAUUUUUCUUUUAAUUAAUAGACUUUUUUAGAGCAGUUUCAGGUUCACAGCAGAAUUGAGCAGAAAAUACAGAGAGCUGGGCACUGGGUCUACGAGGCUUUCCUCAACCGCUCACAGGCCACAGCAAUCAAAAAAGGGUGCAGCCAAAGGCCCAUGGCAUGGGCACCAAGCUGCAUCCUGGUGCCUCGCUCGGACAUAGGAGAGACCGAGAGCCAGCGGAAGAGCGGACACGGGAGGAAACAGCAAGUGGGGGCCAGGAGAAAGCUGCAGAGACGCUCUCACCACUGGGAUCGCCUCGGACAGGAAAAGACAAGGCACCCAUGAGACCCACUUCGGAAAGCAGGCGGAGAACAAGAAAGAGUCCUUCUGAGUCCAAAAUAUAGUAUCUGAAAAAAUUUAAACUUAAUAGAAGGGUUGGAAGAAUGAGCUGAGGAACUCUCACAGAAGAAAGAACAAACAUCUGAGAGACAGAAACCGGGGAAGAGAAGAUGAGAGAUGGUGGAGGGUCUCUGUGGAAGGUCUAGUGCUUGAGGGACAGAGGUUCCAGAAAGAGCCAGAGGACCAGUGUGAAGAAAUAGUACAGGGCUCUUCCUAGAACCUCCGUAGUGGAAGAGCUGCCAAGCUCCCAGCACAAUAAAAACUGCAAACCAAGGAACGGAUUCAAAAACCCCACGAUGUUGCAUCGUUGUGAAAUUUCAGUGUCAUCAGGAGAAGGAGAAGAUACUGGGGGUUUCUAGAAAGCAAACCUCGGUCUCCCGGAGAUGGGCAGGCACCAGAGGACUCGGCUUGCCUCCCACGAGGCCCAUCUUAAGAAGCUCCAGGGCUGAGCCUCCCAGCACAGAGCGGGGCGCCAUCCAGUCAAGAAGACAUUGGAUUUUGAAGGCUCAGCACAAAAACGGAACGGGAGGUAUCUCAUGAAUCACGUGUGCUGCUCCCAGCACAAAUCAGGACUUGCAUCCAUUCCUCCAGCGCACGUUCAUGAGCCCCCUCUUUGUGCCAGGUGCCGUCCUGGGCGCUGGGACGCGGAAGGCAGCGGACGCCUCAGUGGAGACCGAGGACCCCGCAGAGUUGCUGGAAAUUGAACCCAGGAUCUCCUGCAUGCUAAGCAUGUGCUCUGCCACUGAGCUACACCCUCCUCCUCUCUGGGUCUUUAGGUUUUUCUACAAAGAGGACUGUGCAGUCUGUGAGAAGGGACGUUCCUUCCUUUACGAGCUGUCUGCCUUUUACUCACUGUUCAGUGACUGAUCGUGUGGGUCGUGACCUGCAGGACAACGUUCAGAAGAAGCGGCAAGAGCUGAUACUCCUGCCUUAGUCCCAGUCUUUGCGGGAAGAGCAUCCCAUUUCCCACCAGUAAGUAUGACGUCAUCCACAGGGUUUUCAGAGAUGCUCUUAAUUGAUUUGAGAAUGUUUCUGUUCAUCCUCAGUUUGCUGGAGGGUCUUUUUUCAAUCACGAAUGGGUGUUGAGUUUUUUCGGAUGUCUUUUCUUUCUUAUGAGCUGAUCUUUGCGUUUGUCUCCCUUAGUCUGUUGCUGCGGCGGGUUAUGCUGGUUUUCAGUUGUUGUUCCAGCCUUGAAUUCCCAGAAUACGCUUCACUCGGUCAUGAAAUGUUAUCCUUUUUAUAUAUUUCUGGGUUCGAUUUGCUAAAAUUUUAUUAAGGAUUUUGGCAUCUGUGUUUAUCGAGGAUGUUAGUGUGUAAUUUUAUUUUCUGGUAAUAAGAAUAUUGUCUGGCCAUGGCUUCAGGAUGAUGCUGGCUCCAUCGAAUGAGCUGAAAUGACUCCUUCCUCUUCUAUUUCCUGGGAGUCUGUACGGAGCCGGUGUUACUGCCUCCUCAGAUGUUGGGAGAGGUCACUGGGCUGGGAGCUGUCUUUUUGUGGGAAGGCUUUUAACUGCAAAUUCAAUUUUUUUAAGAAACUUUUCUUUUUUUUUUUCCAUUGGAGGUACUGGGAGCUAACCCAGGACCUUGUGCUAAACACGCACCCUGCCACUGAGCUGCACGCCCCUGUGGAGUCAGUUUUCUAAGCAGACGCCGCGCAGGCUUCCUGCUGCCGCUGCCAUUCGGAGGCCUCGGGCC
Long non-coding RNA from Camelus dromedarius (Arabian camel), 4518 nucleotides. RefSeq lists it as uncharacterized. The record is from RefSeq and is a predicted model, not a curated record. The transcript is spliced from 5 exons. Lineage: Eukaryota; Metazoa; Chordata; Mammalia; Artiodactyla; Camelidae.